RNAcentral lists this ribosomal RNA (375 nucleotides) under uncultured Glomeromycotina. RNAcentral's name for it is "LSU rRNA". Lineage: Eukaryota; Fungi; Glomeromycota. The record is from RNAcentral.
UUGAAAGGGAAACGAUUGAAGUCAGUCGUACCAGCGGGAAAUCAACCUUUCGAGUGGGGGUUUUGGAGUUUUGAAGAGUGUCAAAACCUUUGAGAUUUCAAAAUUUUCGCUCCUUUGGUGUACUUUCUCGUGGGUAGGUUAACAUCGAUUUUGAUCAUCAUAAAAAGAUUGGAGGAAUGUAGCUUCGAUCUUGUAUUGAAGUGUUAUAGCCUUUGGUAAAUGUGAUGAUUAGGAUCGAGGAUUGCAACGAAUACCCUUUUGGGCUAUCCGCCUGAUCUCUGAUACGUGGCCUUGGUAUCGAAAGCUUGCUUAUGGUAUUGAGGUAUUACGGUCAAAAGGUUAGAACGGAUUACAUUCGUUAAGGAUGUUGACGUA